Nelumbo nucifera (sacred lotus) is the source of this 1774-nucleotide non-coding RNA. The record is from RefSeq and is a predicted model, not a curated record. NCBI's taxonomy places the organism in Eukaryota, Viridiplantae, Streptophyta, Magnoliopsida, Proteales, Nelumbonaceae.
CCCGUGAAUUUAACAUCAAUUCAUGGGCAGGAGUGGACUGAACUAUAAACCGCAUGCUGGAAGGGGUUACACAAUGCUGAUAGCCCAUCUCCCAAUCCCAUAAACCCCAACCUAGUGCAGCGGGAUUCGAUCCCAAAUCUCCGCUACAAGGAGCAGGAAACUUACCAACCAGCGGGUGGCACCUUGCAAAAUCUUAAGACGAGCACUUAAACUUGAAAAUGACCGCACGACUCAAAGUCAAACCCAAGCUCUGUCUAAUGAUACCAUUAUCUGGGAUUUCUUCUCGUUCCAGCGUUGGAACAUUUCGUUUCUCCACGGAAUAAAAAGCAUGGAAUGGAUAGAGAGGAGAAGAACACAGGGAGCGAGAGUGAAAUUCGACAAAGGAGUUUGCCAGGGAAGCCGUGUUUCUGCGGACACUAGGAAUCCAGUAAUCACUUCACUGAUCCUCAUUGGAAGAUCAAGUUUCAGGAGGAUUUCAAGAGACGAAUCUACAUUCCUCAUCUGACCGACCUUUUCCAUGAUAUCCAACCCUUUUCAUCUACGUUUUGUAUCAAGAGCUAGUUUCCUUCUUCGAUUUCUUUUCUUCCUCUGUUUCAGCCUUAGACGUUAAGCGUUGUCUUAGUUGCUAUCUAGACAGAAUUCAAGUUCUUAACCAUUCCAUCCGAUUAUAGUUGAAUUUUAUUGAUAUUCUUCUUCUUCUUCUUCUUUUUUGAUUGCAACUGAUUCUGUUCUUUGGAAAGAUGGAGAUGGAAAUGCGUCCUGUGUUCGAGGAUUUUUCAGAUAGUUAUCCAGCGGAUGAGAAGUGAUAUGGAUAAAUGAACAAUAACGAUAGAGUAAUUCUUAAGGAAAGAGGAAUCAACAUGCUCUUUGUUCUGGGUGGGAAUGGUACACAAGCUGGUGGAAAUGCAAUCCAUAAUGAGAAUUGGUUUGAGAAAAAGAAUGCUAAAGGUCCUUAUGGGCAUAUUACACUUGGAGAUAUUAGUGUACACAUUGAACAACAGGUGGACCUUCCCUUCAAGUGUGCAGAACUUGUUUAGUACUACAUCAGUAAGGGAUUUAAAAAAGAGUGGUAAAAUCUUGUGGAGAUGUGCUAGAGCAGCUGUAUGCUGGACUCUGUGGGAGGAAAGAAAUCAAAGAACUUUUCAUGAGAAAGAAAAAAGUAGGGAAGCCAUCAUUGAAUUAAUAUAUGUUAGGGUGGUUCACUGGGUCAAGUCUAUGAAGAUAUUUAAAGGUUAUUCAACAGGAGACAUCAUUCGAAAAUGGAAAGAAGUGGCUUGGUCUGCCCCCUUGACUUCUUCACCUAGUCCAGCUUGGACUCCUCCAACUUCAGGAUUGAUUAAUUGAACUUUGAUGGCAGCAGUGAAGGAAACCCAGGCCCAACAGGUGUAGGUGGAGUGUUCAAGGAUGAAGAAGGUCAAAUUAUUGUCAUGUUCUCAGCACCUAUAGGCUGGGGGAUUCAUUGAGAGCCGAAAUUUUGGUAGCUCUGGAAGGGAUCAAAAGAGCCCAGCAGUUGAAAAUCAGAAAUCUGUUGGUGGAAGGAGACUCUAGGCUGAUAGUUAGCUGGUUGUAGGAGAAAGAUUCUAAUUUGUGAAAGUUCUCAAAUGAAAAAAAGAAAAUCAACCGGGUUACUCGAAACAUGCAAAUUCAGGUUCAGUGGGCCAAGAGGUGUGCCAAUUCUCUAGCAGACUCUUUGGCCAAACAAGGGGUGGGAAGAGCAAAUCUCUUUUGGGCUGUUUUGUAAUCUGAUCUUUAAUGUUAGGGAGGGUUAAGUGUU